Long non-coding RNA from Cyprinus carpio carpio, 1215 nucleotides. The record is from Ensembl. NCBI's taxonomy places the organism in Eukaryota, Metazoa, Chordata, Actinopteri, Cypriniformes, Cyprinidae.
GCAUAUUAGAAUGAUUUUUUAAGGAUCAUGUGACACUUUAGAGUGGAGUAAUGGCUGAUGGAAAUUCAGCUUUGCAUCACAGAAAUAAAUUAUAUUUUAAAGAAUAUUAAAAUAGAAACCAUUAUUUUAUAUUGUAAUAACAUUUUGCAAGAUUACUGUUUUUUUUUCUGUAUUUUUGAUCAAAUGCAGCCUUGAUGAGCAUAAGAGACUUCUUUAAAAAACAUUCAAAAACUUUUGAACGGCAGUGUAAUUGAUGCCUGAGGCUGUUCGGAAUACUAGCAAACGGAAUACUUCACACAGAACUGCAUACUAUUGUUCUUGACUAGUAUGUGGAGGAAAAGAAAUGCAGUAUGCAGUGCAGAGUAUGACAUCCAAUCAUCAUUUUGGAAAUAGUUAUUUAUAGUUCAAAUGUUAACUUUUGACAUUUCCUUAAAAUGAUUCGAUAUUAUAUUAGAAAUAGACUGAUAAGUCAAGCACAUUGCAUUGUGGGAUAUUAUAAUUCCAUGCAGUGUGCUGAUAUAAACUGCACAUUUGGUCAUCAAGGUAUUUCACGCAUACAGACAAUUCCCACAUUAGUAUGCAUAACAUAUUCUGCAGAAGUAGUAGUAUGCUAGUAUGCUAUUCCAAACAGCCUAAAAUCCCCAAAAACAAAAACCAACUGUACUUUAUUCUAACAGCUGCCAGAGAUUAUGGGAGAAGUGGUUGUAUAAUGUGACUAUUGGUCACUGCCUCAAAUCAUGCCAAUUCCUUUUGUUCUUGGUUCUGGUUGAAUGUGUGCGAGGGAUGUUUUAGCCCUUAUGACAGGAGCUUGUGUACCAAAGCAUCUAAAACAUCUUCAUCCUUGCCAUACUCGUUCAAUGUUAAACCAUAUCUCCAAGACUGUUGAUUAGGUGUAUAAAAGCCAAAUCAUUUAUUUCCAUUUCUACUGUGAGACAUUUAUUAUCCUCCUUUCCAUUGCACUGUAAAUAAAGAGAAAAGCCCUGGAUUUCUACGAGGACACUACUGUCAGCUGUAUUUCAGACUCUUAUUUUUUACUUUGGUUUUAGAGACUGUGCUUACCUGGAGAGCUGUACAAUCUGAAUGUGGGAAACCUUUGUUACUUGUUGACUGUUAUGUCCUUUAUCAACGUUGUGCACUGGUUUCUAAUCGUUUCAAAUAUAUAUGUACAGUUUUGUUUGGACGCCAACAUCAGAAUGAAGUAUGCAUUGUAACGGA